This 75-nucleotide transfer RNA is filed under the name compost metagenome. RNAcentral's name for it is "tRNA-Gly". It matches the Rfam family "tRNA". From Rfam's summary of the family: Transfer RNA (tRNA) molecules are approximately 80 nucleotides in length. The record is from RNAcentral.
GCGGUUGUGAUUUAACAGCCAGAAUACCUCCCCGCCACGGAGGAAGUCCGGGUGCAAUUCCCGGCAACCGCACCA